AGCGAGUUUUGAAUAGGAUAACCAGAGAAUAGUUUAAGAGAAACUGAGAUUGAUAAAGUGGUAAUUUAAAACGGUUUAGGGAAGCUAAUCCCACGUAAUCCAUGUCAGCAAGUUCUAAAUGUUUAAUGAUGAGUCAGCAUUUCACUUAAUGGUGUAAAUCAUUGAAUGUCCACAUAUUAUUUGAUAUAUAAACUAAAUCUUUUAAAUAUUACAUUAAAAUUUAUUAACAAAAACUAAUCUUAA
RNAcentral lists this long non-coding RNA (243 nucleotides) under Brassica napus (rape). Its description in RNAcentral is "long non-coding RNA (BNAP_LNC021799)". Lineage: Eukaryota; Viridiplantae; Streptophyta; Magnoliopsida; Brassicales; Brassicaceae. The record is from RNAcentral.